UAAUAUCAGAAGAGUCCCACAACAGGACGAAAUGGCCGUCCAAUGC
RNAcentral lists this non-coding RNA (46 nucleotides) under Schistosoma mansoni. The record is from RNAcentral. Lineage: Eukaryota; Metazoa; Platyhelminthes; Trematoda; Strigeidida; Schistosomatidae.